Molecule: ribosomal RNA, 87 nt
Filed under: Lacticaseibacillus rhamnosus
Lineage: Bacteria; Bacillati; Bacillota; Bacilli; Lactobacillales; Lactobacillaceae
Also listed under: 1 other name
Description: Lactobacillus rhamnosus partial 16S ribosomal RNA
Rfam family: Bacterial small subunit ribosomal RNA
Source: RNAcentral
UAUUUAUAUGAGAGUUUGAUCCUGGCUCAGGAUGAACGCUGGCGGCGUGCCUAAUACAUGCAAGUCGAACGAGUUCUGAUUAUUGAA